Molecule: ribosomal RNA, 465 nt
Filed under: Vreelandella stevensii
Lineage: Bacteria; Pseudomonadati; Pseudomonadota; Gammaproteobacteria; Oceanospirillales; Halomonadaceae
Description: partial 16S ribosomal RNA
Rfam family: Bacterial small subunit ribosomal RNA
Source: RNAcentral
CCUACGGGUGGCAGCAGUGGGGAAUAUUGGACAAUGGGCGAAAGCCUGAUCCAGCCAUGCCGCGUGUGUGAAGAAGGCCUUCGGGUUGUAAAGCACUUUCAGUGGGGAAGAAAGCCUUGGGGCUAAUACCCUCGAGGAAGGACAUCACCCACAGAAGAAGCACUGGCUAACUCCGUGCCAGCAGCCGCGGUAAUACGGAGGGUGCGAGCGUUAAUCGGAAUUACUGGGCGUAAAGCGCGCGUAGGCGGUCUGAUAAGCCGGUUGUGAAAGCCCCGGGCUCAACCUGGGAACGGCAUCCGGAACUGUCAGGCUAGAGUGCAGGAGAGGAAGGUAGAAUUCCCGGUGUAGCGGUGAAAUGCGUAGAGAUCGGGAGGAAUACCAGUGGCGAAGGCGGCCUUCUGGACUGACACUGACGCUGAGGUGCGAAAGCGUGGGUAGCAAACAGGAUUAGAUACCCUAGUAGUC